GGAUCAAGACCACCACUUCAUUGGGACCACCCCCCUUGAUCUUCCACUGUACACCGACCAGGCCCUGUGUCCAAAGCCCCCAAUGGCCAUCACCAAAGGCACCGGUCACCUCUUGGGGACAUCGUCUCGCCUGCCACUGCCACACUGGCCUCAUAGCUGGAGGUGGCUCUCCAACACCCCAAACAGUCCUGCCUCAGGGUCUUUCACCGGCUGUUCCCUCUGCCUAGAACGCUGUUCCCCCAGACACUGGCCCAGAGACAGAGCCCUGUCCAGCUCACUGAGUCCAGUGUGGCCUCAGGGUCUCUGCACAGGCUGUUCCUACUGCCCAGGAUGCUCGUCGCCCCAGAACCUGUCCUGGCAGAUCCUUCUUCUUGUUUUGGUGGACACAGCUCAAUGGUGACCUCAUCCCAGAGGCCUCUGCCAUUCCCCUCCCUCCCUCUGUUGUUUAGCUUUUU
Molecule: long non-coding RNA, 455 nt
Organism: Lagenorhynchus albirostris (white-beaked dolphin)
Lineage: Eukaryota; Metazoa; Chordata; Mammalia; Artiodactyla; Delphinidae
Exons: 3
Source: RefSeq, a predicted model, not a curated record